UGUCUGACAUAUUACACACAGUUGAAGUGACACAUCACUCUCUCGCCCAGAGCAUCAGUGGGGAAGGUGAUGGAAAACAGUAGAUGGAUCCAGUGAUUAUUUGUAAUUUCACAUUCUGACUCCAUCUGCGGCCUCAUUAAGGUGAUAGAAACAUACUAGGAAUAAGGCACCAAAAACAAAGGUACAAAGGCCCAGAAGCCAUCAGAAUGGAAACUUGUAACAGUGACAUAGAAUUCGUGAAGUAAAGAAAUGUAAGCUCCAAAGAAAUCAUAUGUAGUAAUCCACUUUUUAAAAUAUCUUUGAAAAGGUAGUAAAAAUCAAAGUUCAAUCUGGCAUAAUUAACUUGGUUCCUGAGUUUAAAGCCAAAUAAAACCCUGUAUCAAAAAAUGGUUUUAUUCAUGCUGUCUUACAUGAAUAUAGUAGAAAGCUGCUGGUUUUUAAAAGGUAUCAAAAUGGUAACUCUUAGAACAUAUAUAAAAAAAUUCACAGAUCCUUCAUCAGUCACAAUAUUUAAUAGUGGUCUCUAAACUAUUCGAUAAAAUAGCUAUUGUUUAGAAACAGAUAAAUAGCCAACUCUAGUGACCAAACCAGGAAAAGGAAAUCCUGAAGCAGGAUCCUAAAACCUGUCACUGUGCAUUUUCAUAUUCUCAGCAGUUGAUGUAUGGAAAUGGUAAAAGUGUGGUGUGGGUUGCUUUUGAAGCAGCUAGCACCCAGACUGCGUCAGUUCUGAUUGGCUGCAAAGUACAGAGUGUUAAUGGCAUAAAGCCAGCUUUUUAGUCACUUUCAGUCAUAGAAUUGUUUUGUUGUUGUUGUUGUUGUUUUUUGAGACAGAGUCUUGCUCUGUUAUCUAGGCUGGAGUGCAGUGGCACUAUCUCGGCUUAUUGCAACCUCCACCUUCCAGGUUCAAGAGAUUCUCCUGCCUCAGCCUCCCAAGUAGCUGGGAUUACAGGCGCCCACCGCCACACCCACCUAAUUUUUGUAUUCUUAGUAGAGACAGGGUCUCACCAUGUUGGCCAGGCUGGUCUCGAACUCCUGACCUCAGGUGAUCCACCCGCCUCAGCCUCCCAAAGUGCUGGGAUUACAGGCGUGAGCCACCACGCCCGGCCUUCAGUCAAAGAAUUGUGAUGAGGAUCGGAAUGCAUUGGGUAGCUCAGCAGUUAGAUUUGAUAGAUUCCAAGGCUGGUCUGGUGAGUUACCUGAUUUGGUCUAUAGCCCUUCUAGAACUGUCCAGUGGAAACCUAAGUUCCUGAGGCUCCCAGGGUUGGUCCGGGCUCCCUGAGAACAUUAGAACCAGGGAAGGUAUGGGCUGAGUCUGUGUGCCCAUUCAUCAGGCUUGCCCUCUGUUCCAGUUACCUGUUGCUGUGGAACAAAUAAGCCCCAAACUUAGGGACUUAAGAUAGCAAUGUGGUUUUCUGGAUUUAUGGGGCAGUUCUCACUUGGGAUGUAUCAUGCGGUAUCAGUCAUAUGUUAGUGGAGUCCAGAAUCACCUGAAGGCUUCUUCUCUCUCAUGUUUGGUGACUGGGCUUGGAUGGCUUGAAAGCUGGGGCUGGUCAGGAUAGGCAGACUUUUAAAUGGCGUC
RNAcentral lists this long non-coding RNA (1579 nucleotides) under Homo sapiens (human). Its description in RNAcentral is "HSALNT0196067". The record is from RNAcentral. Lineage: Eukaryota; Metazoa; Chordata; Mammalia; Primates; Hominidae.